UCCGAUAUGGUGUAACGGCUAACAUUACCGCCUUUCACAGGUAGUAAUGUGUGUAGUGCGCGGUAGCUCGGGGUUCGACUCCCCGUAUCGGAG
Molecule: non-coding RNA, 93 nt
Organism: Postia placenta MAD-698-R-SB12
Lineage: Eukaryota; Fungi; Basidiomycota; Agaricomycetes; Polyporales; Adustoporiaceae
Source: the annotation of a RefSeq genome assembly